This 763-nucleotide long non-coding RNA is filed under the name Ailuropoda melanoleuca (giant panda). RNAcentral describes it as "lncRNA (ENSAMEG00000025455.1)". Lineage: Eukaryota; Metazoa; Chordata; Mammalia; Carnivora; Ursidae. The record is from RNAcentral.
UCCCAGGAGGUGGGCCAGGGGACCCAGAGCGUUCUGGUAUCUGGGUUAGACCCUGAUCUGCCGCGGAGCUUCGGAGCUCGGUGUUCACGCAACCUGACUCCGUUCUCCGGAAGAGGAAAGAGGCUCAGAGAGCACCCACGCAGCUUCUGAGAGGCCACGCCAGCCCUGCUCUGCAAGUCUGCUUCCACUGCCAAGAUUUCAGGAUGAUACACUCUGUGCACGGGACAGCGGUCAGAGGAGGGAUGUUACGUGGCAGAAGCUGUGAAGCCCAUAUUGCGACGCUGGGAGCGCCGAGCCGGUUUGCGAGGACGCAGGAAGCACGUGGAAAAGUUUGUCAUUUGUGUUAAACGUGGCAAAAAGAAACCAAUAUAGAGGGAACCCGACUUCGCCUCCGGGGGGGCUGGCAGUCACGUGAGCAGACAGCUUAGCAGCACGCACUUACCUCAUUAUUGAUCAUAUAUUUACAAAUCCAAGAAAGAAAAAAUUUAAAAAGCCAACAGAACUCCCAAAUAACCCAAACCAUAUUCACAGCAACAGCCUUUGAGUUCCGUCAAAACCCUCCGUAUCAGAAUGACUGCCCCCAAUUGGGUAAUAAACCAAAUCGCUUUGUGCUUAGAGACGGAAAGAACGGGAAGGAGGGAGAGUCUGUUUUAAAAUAACUAAAAAAACACCCGCCCCCAAAGUCGGCAGUUUUAGAUUAUUCCAACCCACAAGUGGUUCUACUCUGACCUUCUAUAAAGCUUGCUCGGACUGUUGAAAAAAG